UUCUCCAGUGGUCUGUAUGACUGGAAUCACAGGAAGGGCAGAGAGGAAGAAAAAAAAAAUCUGUCUUGAAGUUUAUUUAUUAAAAUAUGUAUGCAAGUUGGUACAUAUUUUAUCCCAAUAGAUGGGUAAAUCAUAGAAUUAUAUAUAAAAUAUGAUUUUUUACAGCGUGUAUUUUUUUUACUCUCUCACUAAGAAAUUUGCAUGCAUUGAAAUAACUUCAAUUUCAAUACGCUCAUUUUGUGAACAGCUAACGUAGUUGGUUGCUUUUAGAUAAAGCCUGCUGGAAAAUUAGGUUAACAAAGGGUGAAGGUGAAGAGCUGGAGGUUUCAGAGCUGGUUGAGACCAGGCUGCUGAGGUUGUGUAACCAUGCCUAGAGGGCGGGGUUCCUGUACAUUCCUACUUCAGCAGAUAACCUGCCCCCAGCACCACUCCAGUUUCUGCCAGAGUGAUGGAAGUCUCCAAAGGAAAAUCUGCGCAGCCCUUCCAAGAAGCAGGGUUCUGCUUGAUGUUGUCGGAAGGCUGCCAAAGGAAAGGACUGGAGAACUGUGAACACUCUCACCCGGGGAUCGAGCUUGGAACAAGGAAGGCUGGCAUGAUCAUUCACUGCACAUCAGAGGGUGUUGAACCGCCAGUGUGCUGACACCGAGCAGAAAUUUCCAAGUUUAAAGCAACACUCCCUGGACUCACGACAUGUCCCUGGAGAAAGCUACCUCAUCAUUCUUCAGACAAAAAAAAAUUGAUUCCCUUCAGUAUCCUCCAGUUUCGAUAUGACUAGAUAGAACUUUAUGUUCAUUCAGAUAGCUUCCAUGCCUGAAUUCUUGGUCAUCUUUCUGUCGUCUUGUUCCAUAAAUAAAGAUAUAAUAAUAAAAAUGAAUAAAGUUGUUUUGGUCUCAGUGAA
Molecule: long non-coding RNA, 898 nt
Organism: Myodes glareolus (Bank vole)
Lineage: Eukaryota; Metazoa; Chordata; Mammalia; Rodentia; Cricetidae
Source: RefSeq, a predicted model, not a curated record